CGACCCCAGGUCAGGCGGGAUCACCC
RNAcentral lists this ribosomal RNA (26 nucleotides) under Lamium album. Its description in RNAcentral is "partial 28S ribosomal RNA". The record is from RNAcentral. RNAcentral also lists the same sequence under 13 other names. Lineage: Eukaryota; Viridiplantae; Streptophyta; Magnoliopsida; Lamiales; Lamiaceae.